CAGUAGCCACGGGAAUACAUAGGUGGCAAGCGUUGUCCGGAAUUAUUGGGCGUAAAGGGCUCGCAGGCGGUUUCUUAAGUCUGAUGUGAAAGCCCCCGGCUCAACCGGGGAGGGUCAUUGGAAACUGGGAAACUUGAGUGCAGAAGAGGAGAGUGGAAUUCCACGUGUAGCGGUGAAAUGCGUAGAGAUGUGGGGGAACACCAGUGGCGAAGGCGACUCUCUGGUCUGUAACUGACGCUGAGGAGCGAAAGCGUGGGGAGCGAACAGGAUUAGAUACCCCAGUAGUCCCUGUCUCUUAUAC
RNAcentral lists this ribosomal RNA (301 nucleotides) under uncultured bacterium. RNAcentral's name for it is "partial 16S ribosomal RNA". It matches the Rfam family "Bacterial small subunit ribosomal RNA", at positions 509 to 807 of the family's 1533-position model. The record is from RNAcentral.